This is a long non-coding RNA of Osmerus eperlanus (European smelt), 293 nucleotides long. RefSeq lists it as uncharacterized. The transcript is spliced from 3 exons. The record is from RefSeq and is a predicted model, not a curated record. Lineage: Eukaryota; Metazoa; Chordata; Actinopteri; Osmeriformes; Osmeridae.
GAGUUGUGAUCUUAAGAGCUUGUCGGAAAAACAAAGCGGUGUCUUCUUCUGAGUGGCACUGAAGACCAGGAGACCAGGGGUUCAGGAGAUGGCUACUUGAUCAUUCGGAUACAUCCUCAACGUGCCGGGCACACCUCCUCUCUUCUUAUCCUCCCACUUCCCUCUCUUCGGCCUCAAGUGGCAUUUGUUUUCCAUGGCAACCAGAUUAAAUUAGGCUCCACACUCACUGCAAAGGCAUCAGACAGAACAGAAAUGGCAUCUGGGAGGGGAGGGUGUGUGUGUCUGUGUGUGUG